UUUUCUGUUUGUUUUGCUUUUAAAUUAUGCAAAGCGUGACACAUAUAUGUUGAAUACAUUCAGCACAAGAACCCACACUUCUAAUGCCCUAUAUAUAUUCUAUUCACAUGAAGAAUUUUGAGUAUUUUUAAUUUUUAUUUUAAUACAUAUGUAAAGAGGAAAAUAAUUUAUAUUCAUUUAAUGCAAAACAAAAUACCCUACACUAUGGUGUUGUGUACUAUGGUCACUUUCAAAACCAAGCAAAAACAAAUUUACUCAGCAUAAACUUAGUUAUACCACAUAAAUGUCAGUUCAACUCUGUACAUUGGUGAGGCCUGAGAAAUAAUAUAAAUUAGAAAGUUUUUAAGCUGUCGUGUUUAUUACAUUCUCCAUUGUGGAAUGGGUAGAGAGAAAGGAAAGUAAGCUGAAAAUGCUAAAUAUUUUGAUUGAUGUUUAUUGUUCACAUAUAUUUUAUGUCACAAAGUAUUUUAAAUUUUAUUAAACCAGCUGUAGGAGUGGAGGAUAAAUGCUUUCUGCUUUACAAGGAAGAUUUUCUGAUAUGGGAACCCACAAAUAACUGAUGGGCAGUUGAGCAUACUCAAGAUCCAUUUUCACAGCCUCUGUCAGGAGUUUCAGAUUCGUAUCUUCAAUAGUUUCCUCGUAUUCUGAUUUGAAUUGGGUUUGACUAGAGGUCAGGAAGUAGGAAAGAUAUCUUACAGAAAGGUCUCUCUUCACAACCAUAAAUACUAUCCAAGGGAAGCUGGGACAAAAUUGUAUUUCUCUGCUAUUGCUACAAUUUACAAUUUUAUUCCCUAACCCUUUCCCCUCCCCCAAAACACACACACUUGAAUCAUUUACUCUAGUAUGCAGGAGACUGUGUCAGCCUCCAGGCCACUCCUGACCUCUUACCCUAAUGUUCUCACUCUUUUCCUCCACUGCAAUCAAGGAAACCACUUCCUCAGAGUUUUUGCUUAAUUCUUUAAUUCCAAGUCCUUUUUGUUUUUUUCUUUUUUUUUUUCUUUUCAUUGUUGGUAUUCCCUCUAUGAAUUGUCUGGCACUUUGUGGCUUAAAACUCUCUCAAAUCUGAGCUUACCUCCAAUCUUAAGUUUCCUGAAGCACAAAGAGAACAGCCCUCAUGC
Molecule: long non-coding RNA, 1118 nt
Filed under: Macaca fascicularis (crab-eating macaque)
Lineage: Eukaryota; Metazoa; Chordata; Mammalia; Primates; Cercopithecidae
Description: lncRNA (ENSMFAG00000047307.1)
Source: RNAcentral